CAUCUGUACAUAGCAUAGUUUUCUGUUUGGCAUAACCAGCAUUGUGAUGGAAAAGAAAGUCCCAUUACUUCUUUCAAGAGCCACUCCAGAUGUUCCCAGGAUUGGAAUUCACCCAUCCUUUGUGACAGGAAGACUCAGCAGUUUUUCCACGUCUAUGGUUAUACAAGCUUUUCUCUGUGCCCUUUCACUUGUUGCUUGCCGCUUCAGAUGCGCAAAGAAUGCUUUUCACAAAGGUGCUGCUUCAGUUCGAUGACUGGAGAAGUAAACAGGUCCUUGGGUCAACAAAUCACUUGAAUUUAUAUCAUGUGACUUCUAUUUUGUUUUUACUGGUUUGCAAACUAAUAAAUUUCAGUAUCACAAAAC
Molecule: long non-coding RNA, 363 nt
Organism: Pezoporus occidentalis (night parrot)
Lineage: Eukaryota; Metazoa; Chordata; Aves; Psittaciformes; Psittacidae
Exons: 3
Source: RefSeq, a predicted model, not a curated record